GCGGUGAAAUGCGUAGAUAUCGUUUGGAACGCCAAUGGUGAAAACAGGUCGCUGGGGAUGAGCUGACGCUGAGACACGAAAGCCAGGGGAGCAAACGGGAUUAGAUACCCCGGUAGUCCUGGCCCUAAACGAUGUCCACUAGAUCAUGGUUCCUCUGACGGAUUCAUGGUCGAAGCAAAAGUGCUAAGUGGACCGCCUGGGAAGUACGGUCGCAAGGCUAAAACUCAAAGGAAUUGACGG
RNAcentral lists this ribosomal RNA (240 nucleotides) under uncultured bacterium. RNAcentral describes it as "partial 16S ribosomal RNA". It matches the Rfam family "Bacterial small subunit ribosomal RNA", at positions 678 to 916 of the family's 1533-position model. The record is from RNAcentral.